AUUGAACGCUGGCGGAAUGCUUUACACAUGCAAGUCGAACGGCAGCACGGGAGCUUGCUCCUGGUGGCGAGUGGCGAACGGGUGAGUAACAUAUCGGAACGUACCCAGUAAUGGGGAGUAACUAGUCGAAAGAUUAGCUAAUACCGCAUACGCCCUGAGGGGUGAAAGCGGGGAUCGGUAAGACCUCGCGUUAUUGGAGCGGCCGAUAUCUGAUUAGCUAGUUGGUGGGGUAAAGGCCUACCAAGGCGACGAUCAGUAGCUGGUCUGAGAGGACGACCAGCCACACUGGAACUGAGACACGGUCCAGACUCCUACGGGAGGCAGCAGUGGGGAAUUUUGGACAAUGGGCGCAAGCCUGAUCCAGCCAUCCGCGUGAGUGAAGAAGGCCUCGGUUGUAAGCUCUUCGCAAGGGAAGAAACGAUGCAGCUUAAUAAGCUGCGUUAAUGACGGUACCUUGAUAAGAAGCACCGGCUAACUACGUGCCAAGCAGCCGCGGUAAUACGUAGGGUGCGAGCGUUAAUCGGAAUACU
This 530-nucleotide ribosomal RNA is filed under the name uncultured bacterium. Its description in RNAcentral is "bacterial SSU rRNA". It matches the Rfam family "Bacterial small subunit ribosomal RNA", at positions 28 to 554 of the family's 1533-position model. The record is from RNAcentral.